UCAUCUGCUUAAUUCUUGCGCUCUUUCGCCUUCGUUUUUGAAAGGAUUUGAGUCGCAUGGGCGCUGAAUUUUCGCAGCAUUUCAAUCUUGAGAACCUGCGCUCUGCGUUAAUGGCGUUGGUUGUCGUGCAGAAGCCUCGUUCCUUCCUCAGGCUGCGGCCCAAGUCUGUGGUGAUGACUUCUUCAGGGCGCAGUCUGCUCCAGUGGGCCGCCAGCAGAAGGACAGGCAGCCUGCACGUGGACAGGAGCCACGUCGUUUUCAGAAGCAUCCCCGAACCCAAAUCAGAGCUAGACGCUCCUUCUGAAGGCCACUGAGGAAAACCUCCAAAAGACCGCAAACCACGCCUAGUUGCUGUUCGCGUGAAUCUGUGAAUAGGAGGCACCGCAGACAGUGUGCAGAUUUGGAUUGGAUACGUGCGCUGGGCCGCCUGCAUCCCGACAAUAAAAUAAUUCUUCGCGGCUGCUCUCACCAUCAGACCACCUUCGCCAGCGCCAUUGAUGCCCUUUAGAAGGUUCAAUCUGGCUGGACAUACGUGCGGACUGUCUGUACCGCGAGAAACGCACUAAGGAACUGGAGAAGCUGCUGGCGGCCAGCGUUCCGGCGCCAAUGGUGUCGCCGUUCAGCCGCGUGAGGCCAUUCUCGGCGUCCACUGCCCUACAUUCUGUGCUGCCGUCGCUUAGUCAAGCGAACCUCCUGACCUGGCGGCAUGGGCCAAGGAAACCUGUUCUUCCGAGAUUAGAGCGUCGAGUCUUGACGCCGUCAUUGCGUGCUGAGCUGGUGCCGAAAACUUUUGAGACCUAGGAGGGCCUCUUCAACCGCUACCUGACGGCGCCAAACAGGAAACCCGAGGCCUUCUCCCUGUCCUUGGCCGCCACUUCAUGCCUCAAGCUCAACCACGUCCCUUUCUUUCCCUGGCAUCUGCGCCUGGAGCUGUACGUGAAGCGCUGAUGAAAAGCCAGGAUUGGCAUCUGAGCUUUGGAGAAGGAAGCUCACUUCCUGCAGCCGAGAUGCUGAAGAAGGAGCUAAAGUACGACCUCGCAAUAAAUUUUUUCUCGGAUGCUGGAUUUCAACGCGCAUUCUCUUUUUGAGGUGCUGGUGCGCGUCACCUGCAUGCUCCUCCACUAAAAAUACACCACGAAUACCUAGAACAGGGCAAACACACCCGCUAGACCUGUUCCAGCCUCCACUGAUGUGUUUCAGACCUGUCUUUGGCUCGCAUCAGGAAAUGGACAUGACGGCCAUCGAGGACGGCAAGCUGGUGGGCAAGGUGCCUAUGUAGGUGGAGAUCACACUUGUGUGGACAGUUUUUCGUAAGCGUGAAAGGCUGCACCUUUUUUGACAUUAGGACAGAUUUUGAUGGUUCCCGAAAGAGGGGGCUGAUCACGGCAAGCGUUUGUAAAAAAGUAUCGGUUAAUACUGGGCGAGAAAUCGACAACGCGCCAUGUUAAAGAAUAGGGAAGUAUCGAUAUAUCGCCCAGUAUUGACAUAUUUGUAAAACGCUUUCAAAUGCAAAAUUUUGUA
This is a long non-coding RNA of Cloeon dipterum, 1521 nucleotides long. RefSeq lists it as uncharacterized. The record is from RefSeq and is a predicted model, not a curated record. Lineage: Eukaryota; Metazoa; Arthropoda; Insecta; Ephemeroptera; Baetidae. The transcript is spliced from 5 exons.